RNAcentral lists this ribosomal RNA (253 nucleotides) under uncultured bacterium. RNAcentral's name for it is "partial 16S ribosomal RNA". It matches the Rfam family "Bacterial small subunit ribosomal RNA", at positions 524 to 776 of the family's 1533-position model. The record is from RNAcentral.
UACGUAUGGGGCAAGCGUUAUCCGGAUUUACUGGGUGUAAAGGGAGCGUAGGCGGUACGGCAAGUCAGAAGUGAAAGCCUGGGGCUCAACCCCGGAAUUGCUUUUGAAACUGUCGAACUAGAGUGUCGGAGGGGUAAGCGGAAUUCCUAGUGUAGCGGUGAAAUGCGUAGAUAUUAGGAGGAACACCGGUGGCGAAGGCGGCUUACUGGACGACCACUGAUGCUGAGGCUCGAAAGCGUGGGGAGCAAACAGG